UUUGAUUAAUGUUGAUCUUAUUUAUGAUAUGUUUAUGAAUCAUUGUCUAAAUAUUUUAUAAUUUUGUAGUAAUUAAUUGCUAUCAAAUAUCUCUACGGUUUGCUGCUUAUAAUCGAAUUGUUAUAGUCAUAAAAAAAAAAGCAAUAUCAAAAAUGAUAAUUUUGUAGUAUUUAAAUGAUAUUAAAUAUUUUGGAAGUUUUAUUUUAGUAACUAAUCGUAUAGUUAAUGCAGAGAGAUUUUGGGAAGGUAGUUAAAUGCAAACAUUUAAUUCGAAGAUUUAUUUUCUAAUUAUCAAAAACAAUUAUUAAAUGCCAGUGACAACCACUAUAAAUAAAUCUCAACAUGAAGAUUUAUUUCACAAAGUGGCUGCAAAAAUGUAUAUAUAGAUAUAUAGUUAUUAGUUGAUCAAGGGUUUGCAAAUUGAGGGACAGAAACUGAGAGAUGGGAAGAGACAAUAAUUUUAAA
This 465-nucleotide small RNA is filed under the name Arabidopsis thaliana (thale cress). RNAcentral describes it as "ATSL135330". The record is from RNAcentral. Lineage: Eukaryota; Viridiplantae; Streptophyta; Magnoliopsida; Brassicales; Brassicaceae.